CGCAUGCACAAGGGCGGCGCCUGAACGCGUUCAGUGCGCUCUUUCCUGGCCAUACAUAUCUCACAGCCCUACCAGCUCGAACUGUCGUUGCUCCCUGUAAAGCAGUAAUGUGCGUGCGGUGGGGCAGUGAAAUUCACUUUUCCGAAAGGAGUAUGAUCAGUUCACCAGCAGCAGCUGCAGUGCUAACGCGCAAGUACGGUGGCUAAUCUUUUAUGUAAUAGUUACACACAAAGCUAAGGUGCGAGACCGAGCAGUGAUUAAGCAUUGCUCUGUAUUUCGUUUUCGCACACAAGCACCUGCUGCCCCUUCCUGGAGCGCGCUCGCUCGAUCGCCCACUCGAGCGGCCGGCUCGGUGAUGACGAUGUUCAGCCCAAUAGCGCCGUGCAACCCGUAUAGUAAUAUUAUGUUGAAAUGAGAUUAGCCCACGGACGCGCUGUGCUUAUUGUAUUUGCAAUGCUGUUCACCGCCGAUUCACUAACCGUCACAGCGAAUCUGCCUUGCCGUUUGGAAUAUGAUGCGAAGGCGGGCUCCGAGCAGCAGUAGAGUACGUCGUUAUGGUUAAAAAUAUUAUGCUGCUGAGGGUAGUAAGCAGAGGUCGGCAAAACCUGAAUAACUGUCACGGGUACUGGUGCCAGGGUCGAAUAACUGUAUGGAAAUUUUUUUGGUAAAAACCGAGGAAAGAGUGUCUGCGGGCCGAUGUACCGUUUACCGCCUUGUAAAAUGGAAGGUUUGGUAACCUAAUGAUGAAGUUUAUAGCUUCAAAACUGCGCGAACCUGCCUUUUGGGGGGAAUUUCUGCACCCUGCCGUACGGCUGCCGUACCCGUGAUGAAGAUAAUAGGCAGGGUCUCGAAAUAUGUUUCCUAUAGAUGAAUCGUAUACAUAGCCAAUCUAUAUGUAUACAGCAUGGCCCAUAGGCCUGUAGGUUAUCAUGUGUAGACGUUGUGUAAAGCUGUCGAGUCUAAUAUGUUCGUUGUAUGCAGGCCUUUCUGUAGACCUCUCGUGUAUACAGCGUUAGGGCCGUGACUGUACUUGCGACCGCGAAACACUUUGACCUCUCCAGCGAAACUUCGUAAUCCUGAAACUGUCGGAACCUGUCGGAAGCUCUCGGAACCCUUAAAAUGCUGUAAUUUAUGACGUUUAUGCAUUUCACACGUUUUCUAUGGGCUAUGGGCCCUUCAACGCACAUGCAGAGCGCUCUCGGGCACCUCUAAACACUCGAUUGCUACCCGCCUAAGGUGUACAACUGUAUUCCCUCCGAUCUCAGGUGCCCUUUUUGCGCCAGUUGCGUUUCUAACACUGGCCCUUAAUUAUAAACAUUGUCCCAGACAUUCCACACAAAGGAAAAAAUGAAACUUUUAAAACUUUCACAGGCUUAAGGACCAAGCGCAAGCUUUGAAGAUACUAAAUAGGUGCCGCUUACGGCGCUAGUCGUACUGGGCUGGAACAAGUUUCCGGCCGGAGCCGGCGUAGCGGUGCCCCCAGACCUAGACCUCUUAGGGUCCGAAAGCACGGAAACUAGUUUCGCAACGUUACCCUUCUUCACGGACAUUCAGUUCCAUUAGCCAGCUAGCAUCCUCUAGUUAGGGUAAGAUAACUGCCGCUCCACCCCACUUAGGGUGUAUUUCCAGUGCGUAUUAAGGCCAGGGAUUAAGGUCCCGCUAUUCCCGGCUAAUCCCCGGCUAAUCCCUGGCAAUUCUUAAGGCCUGGGAUUAGCGCGGGGAUUAAGGCCGUACAAAGGGCGAUGCACAUUUCUUGAUGCGAUCUCGAAGCUAAAAUUACCAGUUCUGAAUUGCUUUGGGCAUUAGGCAUCGUAUGAGUAUAAAAUAUGGGCAGGAAGCGCACUCUUCUCGCCGUUGUGGCCACCGUUGAGGCCUGACAUUGAAGUAGCACCUUUCGCGCAAACCAAAUCAGAUAUUGCUUACUUGAGGUCAUCCAUAUGGAAUUACCUAGAAAUUAAAGUAAGAUAUAACGCCAUUAACGCUAAUCCAGAUACGGAAAGUUACUACCUGGGUGGGGCCAGGUAAUAACUUUGUUGUCACAAGUUGCCAGGUAAAUACAUGGACAUCAAGUUCAAUUUAUGUUCUUUCCUAUCUCUUGCUAACUCCUGCUAGUCCUCUGAAUAGAGAGCACGGUGUCCUGAGGAAUUCCUUAAUCCCAGUGGGAUUUCCACUGCUGGGAUUAGCACAGGAAUUAACGCUAAUCCCUGGCCUUAAUCCGCACUGGAAAU
Molecule: long non-coding RNA, 2228 nt
Filed under: Volvox carteri
Lineage: Eukaryota; Viridiplantae; Chlorophyta; Chlorophyceae; Chlamydomonadales; Volvocaceae
Description: long non-coding RNA (VCAR_LNC000391)
Source: RNAcentral